GACAGAGGAUGCAAGCGUUAUCCGGAAUGAUUGGGCGUAAAGCGUCUGUAGGUGGCUUUUUAAGUCUGCCGUCAAAUCCCAGGGCUUAACCCUGGACAGGCGGAUGAACUACCAAGCUGGAGUACGGUAGGGGCAGAGGGAAUUUCCGGUGGAGCGGUGAAAUGCGUAGAGAUCGAAAGAACACCAACGGCGAAAGCACUCUGCUGGGCCGACACUGACACUGAGAGACGAAAGCUAGGGGAGCGAAUGGG
Molecule: ribosomal RNA, 251 nt
Filed under: uncultured bacterium
Lineage: Bacteria
Description: partial 16S ribosomal RNA
Rfam family: Bacterial small subunit ribosomal RNA
Source: RNAcentral